Molecule: ribosomal RNA, 2011 nt
Filed under: Shigella flexneri
Lineage: Bacteria; Pseudomonadati; Pseudomonadota; Gammaproteobacteria; Enterobacterales; Enterobacteriaceae
Description: partial 23S ribosomal RNA
Rfam family: Bacterial large subunit ribosomal RNA
Source: RNAcentral
UGCAAACUGCGAAUACCGGAGAAUGUUAUCACGGGAGACACACGGCGGGUGCUAACGUCCGUCGUGAAGAGGGAAACAACCCAGACCGCCAGCUAAGGUCCCAAAGUCAUGGUUAAGUGGGAAACGAUGUGGGAAGGCCCAGACAGCCAGGAUGUUGGCUUAGAAGCAGCCAUCAUUUAAAGAAAGCGUAAUAGCUCACUGGUCGAGUCGGCCUGCGCGGAAGAUGUAACGGGGCUAAACCAUGCACCGAAGCUGCGGCAGCGACGCUUAUGCGUUGUUGGGUAGGGGAGCGUUCUGUAAGCCUGUGAAGGUGUGCUGUGAGGUAUGCUGGAGGUAUCAGAAGUGCGAAUGCUGACAUAAGUAACGAUAAAGCGGGUGAAAAGCCCGCUCGCCGGAAGACCAAGGGUUCCUGUCCAACGUUAAUCGGGGCAGGGUGAGUCGACCCCUAAGGCGAGGCCGAAAGGCGUAGUCGAUGGGAAACAGGUUAAUAUUCCUGUACUUGGUGUUACUGCGAAGGGGGGACGGAGAAGGCUAUGUUGGCCGGGCGACGGUUGUCCCGGUUUAAGCGUGUAGGCUGGUUUUCCAGGCAAAUCCGGAAAAUCAAGGCCGAGGCGUGAUGACGAGGCACUACGGUGCUGAAGCAACAAAUGCCCUGCUUCCAGGAAAAGCCUCUAAGCAUCAGGUAACAUCAAAUCGUACCCCAAACCGACACAGGUGGUCAGGUAGAGAAUACCAAGGCGCUUGAGAGAACUCGGGUGAAGGAACUAGGCAAAAUGGUGCCGUAACUUCGGGAGAAGGCACGCUGAUACGUAGGUGAAGCGACUUGCUCGUGGAGCUGAAAUCAGUCGAAGAUACCAGCUGGCUGCAACUGUUUAUUAAAAACACAGCACUGUGCAAACACGAAAGUGGACGUAUACGGUGUGACGCCUGCCCGGUGCCGGAAGGUUAAUUGAUGGGGUUAGCGCAAGCGAAGCUCUUGAUCGAAGCCCCGGUAAACGGCGGCCGUAACUAUAACGGUCCUAAGGUAGCGAAAUUCCUUGUCGGGUAAGUUCCGACCUGCACGAAUGGCGUAAUGAUGGCCAGGCUGUCUCCACCCGAGACUCAGUGAAAUUGAACUCGCUGUGAAGAUGCAGUGUACCCGCGGCAAGACGGAAAGACCCCGUGAACCUUUACUAUAGCUUGACACUGAACAUUGAGCCUUGAUGUGUAGGAUAGGUGGGAGGCUUUGAAGUGUGGACGCCAGUCUGCAUGGAGCCGACCUUGAAAUACCACCCUUUAAUGUUUGAUGUUCUAACGUGGACCCGUGAUCCGGGUUGCGGACAGUGUCUGGUGGGUAGUUUGACUGGGGCGGUCUCCUCCUAAAGAGUAACGGAGGAGCACGAAGGUUGGCUAAUCCUGGUCGGACAUCAGGAGGUUAGUGCAAUGGCAUAAGCCAGCUUGACUGCGAGCGUGACGGCGCGAGCAGGUGCGAAAGCAGGUCAUAGUGAUCCGGUGGUUCUGAAUGGAAGGGCCAUCGCUCAACGGAUAAAAGGUACUCCGGGGAUAACAGGCUGAUACCGCCCAAGAGUUCAUAUCGACGGCGGUGUUUGGCACCUCGAUGUCGGCUCAUCACAUCCUGGGGCUGAAGUAGGUCCCAAGGGUAUGGCUGUUCGCCAUUUAAAGUGGUACGCGAGCUGGGUUUAGAACGUCGUGAGACAGUUCGGUCCCUAUCUGCCGUGGGCGCUGGAGAACUGAGGGGGGCUGCUCCUAGUACGAGAGGACCGGAGUGGACGCAUCACUGGUGUUCGGGUUGUCAUGCCAAUGGCACUGCCCGGUAGCUAAAUGCGGAAGAGAUAAGUGCUGAAAGCAUCUAAGCACGAAACUUGCCCCGAGAUGAGUUCUCCCUGACCCUUUAAGGGUCCUGAAGGAACGUUGAAGACGACGACGUUGAUAGGCCGGGUGUGUAAGCGCAGCGAUGCGUUGAGCUAACCGGUACUAAUGAACCGUGAGGCUUAACCUUACAACGCCGAAG